GACGAACGCUGGCGGCGUGCUUAACACAUGCAAGUCGAGCGGUAAGGCCCUUUCGGGGGUACACGAGCGGCGAACGGGUGAGUAACACGUGGGUGACCUGCCCUCAGCUCUGGGAUAAGCCUGGGAAACCGGGUCUAAUACUGGAUAUGACUCCAUGACGCAUGUUGUGGGGUGGAAAGCCUUGUGCGGCUGAGGAUGGGCCCGCGGCCUAUCAGCUUGUUGGUGGGGUGANGGCCUACCAAGGCGACGACGGGUAGCCGGCCUGAGGGGGCGACCGGCCACACUGGGACUGAGACACGGCCCAGACUCCUACGGGAGGCAGCAGUGGGGAAUCUUGCGCAAUGGGCGAAAGCCUGACGCAGCGACGCCGCGUGAGGGAUGACGGCCUGGUGUAACGU
This 398-nucleotide ribosomal RNA is filed under the name uncultured bacterium. RNAcentral's name for it is "bacterial SSU rRNA". It matches the Rfam family "Bacterial small subunit ribosomal RNA", at positions 28 to 431 of the family's 1533-position model. The record is from RNAcentral.